CAGCAGCCGCGGUAAUACGUAGGGUGCAAGCGUUAAUCGGAAUUACUGGGCGUAAAGCGUGCGCAGGCGGUGUUGUAAGACUGAUGUGAAAUCCCCGGGCUCAACCUGGGAACUGCAUUGGUGACUGCAGCGCUGGAGUGCGGCAGAGGGGGAUGGAAUUCCGCGUGUAGCAGUGAAAUGCGUAGAUAUGCGGAGGAACACCGAUGGCGAAGGCAAUCCCCUGGCCUGCACUGACGCUCAUGCACGAAAGCGUGGGGAGCAAACAGGAUUAGAUACCCCUGUAGUCCCUGUCUCUUAUACA
This 301-nucleotide ribosomal RNA is filed under the name uncultured bacterium. Its description in RNAcentral is "partial 16S ribosomal RNA". It matches the Rfam family "Bacterial small subunit ribosomal RNA", at positions 509 to 808 of the family's 1533-position model. The record is from RNAcentral.